Molecule: ribosomal RNA, 253 nt
Filed under: uncultured bacterium
Lineage: Bacteria
Description: partial 16S ribosomal RNA
Rfam family: Bacterial small subunit ribosomal RNA
Source: RNAcentral
UACGGAGGGUGCAAGCGUUAUCCGGAAUCACUGGGUUUAAAGGGUGCGUAGGCGGUUCGAUAAGUCAGAGGUGAAAGCUAGCAGCUUAACUGUUAAAUUGCCUUUGAUACUGUUGGACUUGAAUCAGGUUGAGGUAGGCGGAAUGUGACAUGUAGCGGUGAAAUGCAUAGAUAUGUCAUAGAACGCCAAUUGCGUAGGCAGCUUGCUGGGCUUGAAUUGACGCUGAGGCACGAAAGCGUGGGGACCAAACAGG